This 224-nucleotide signal recognition particle RNA is filed under the name marine eukaryotic metagenome. RNAcentral describes it as "Bacterial large signal recognition particle RNA". It matches the Rfam family "Bacterial large signal recognition particle RNA", at positions 2 to 221 of the family's 256-position model. From Rfam's summary of the family: The signal recognition particle (SRP) is a universally conserved ribonucleoprotein involved in the co-translational targeting of proteins to membranes. Archaeal SRP consists of a 7S RNA and homologues of the eukaryotic SRP19 and SRP54 proteins. The record is from RNAcentral.
CGUGCUAGGCGGGGAAUUAGCGGUAUCCUGUAGCCUGCAAUCCGCUAUAGCGGGGCUGAAGACCUGUUUUGAGUAUAGAGAGGGUUAUUUAAUUACUGUCGGGCAAUGUUGAUGAAUCGGUCCUAUGCGACAAUAUCCGGCUAACCCCGCCAGGGUCGGAAGACAGCAACGGUAACCCGGUAAUAUUGGGUGCCAUAGGAGUGCCGAUUCUGAGUUAGCCAGCA